UUUAGAGUGGGGAGUAACGGGUACGAAAGACUCGCUAAUACCGCAUAUGACGAAAGUUGAAAGGAGUAAUCCGUCUAAAGAUGAGCCCGCGUCCGAUUAGCUAGUUGGUAGAGUAAAAGCCUACCAAGGCGACGAUCGGUAGCUGGUCUGAGAGGAUGAUCAGCCACAAUGGGACUGAGACACGGCCCAUACUCCUACGGGAGGCAGCAGUGGGAAUUUUACGCAAUGGCGAAAGCCUGACGUAGCGACACCGCGUGAGCGAAGAAGCCCCUUGGGGUGUAAAGCUCUGUCAGCUGGAACGAAAAAAAUGACGGUACCAGCAGAGGAAGCAUCGGCUAACUACGUG
This 346-nucleotide ribosomal RNA is filed under the name uncultured bacterium. RNAcentral's name for it is "bacterial SSU rRNA". It matches the Rfam family "Bacterial small subunit ribosomal RNA", at positions 131 to 507 of the family's 1533-position model. The record is from RNAcentral.